Molecule: long non-coding RNA, 207 nt
Filed under: Lathyrus oleraceus (garden pea)
Lineage: Eukaryota; Viridiplantae; Streptophyta; Magnoliopsida; Fabales; Fabaceae
Description: Pisum sativum (pea) long non-coding RNA (PSAT_LNC015176)
Source: RNAcentral
CCAUGCAACACACGUAAAACAAAAAUCUGGAAAUGCAUUUUAGGGUUUAUCGUGUACAGUGUUCAUCAUCAUCUUCUUCACAAAUCGAAAAAAUAAAUUUGCCCAGAACAUGAAAUCACACAUAUCAUUCUAAUCAGCAGGCAACACACAUCAUGAAUCCAAGCAUCAUUUUCACUAAAUCGAACUACACAGCAAGCAUCAAACAAA